RNAcentral lists this ribosomal RNA (254 nucleotides) under uncultured bacterium. RNAcentral's name for it is "partial 16S ribosomal RNA". It matches the Rfam family "Bacterial small subunit ribosomal RNA", at positions 524 to 776 of the family's 1533-position model. The record is from RNAcentral.
UACGUAGGGGGCAAGCGUUUGUCCGGAAUCAUUGGGCGUAAAGCGCGUGUAGGCGGCCCGAUAAGUCCGCUGUGAAAGUCCAGGGCUCAACCCUGGAAUGCCGGUGGAUACUGUCGGGCUCGAGUCCGGAAGAGGAGAAUGGAAUUCCUGGUGUAGCGGUGAAAUGCGCAGAUAUCAGGAAGAACACCCGUGGCGAAGGCGGUUCUCUGGGACGGUACUGACGCUGAGACGCGAAAGCGUGGGGAGCGAACAGG